UGUUUUCUCGAACCGAAUGGC
This 21-nucleotide non-coding RNA is filed under the name Arabidopsis thaliana (thale cress). The record is from RNAcentral. Lineage: Eukaryota; Viridiplantae; Streptophyta; Magnoliopsida; Brassicales; Brassicaceae.